GACGAACGCUGGCGGCGUGCUUAACACAUGCAAGUCGAACGGAAAGGCCCUGCUUUUGUUGGGUGCUCGAGUGGCGAACGGGUGAGUAACACGUGAGUAACCUGCCCUUGACUUUGGGAUAACUUCAGGAAACUGGGGCUAAUACCGGAUAGGAGCUCCUGCUGCAUGGUGGGGGAUGGAAAGUUUCGGCGGUUGGGGAUAGACUCGCGGCUUAUCAGCUUGUUGGGGGGGUAGUGGCUUACCAAGGCUUUGACGGAUAGCCGGCAUGGGAGGUGUGACGGCGCCCAGGGGCCUACGGGAGGGAGCAGACUGGAACGGGAGGCAGUGGUGGGGAAUAUUGCACAGCGGGCGCGCGCGUGAGACGGAGGCGCCGCGUGCGGGAUGACGUCUUUUUGGUUGUGAACCGCUUUGGCCUGUGACGAAGCGUGAGUGACGGUACCGGGUAAAGAAGCACCGGCUAACUACGUG
Molecule: ribosomal RNA, 468 nt
Filed under: uncultured bacterium
Lineage: Bacteria
Description: partial 16S ribosomal RNA
Rfam family: Bacterial small subunit ribosomal RNA
Source: RNAcentral